Molecule: ribosomal RNA, 511 nt
Filed under: Curvularia kusanoi
Lineage: Eukaryota; Fungi; Ascomycota; Dothideomycetes; Pleosporales; Pleosporaceae
Description: eukaryotic LSU rRNA
Rfam family: 5.8S ribosomal RNA (bases 133-286)
Source: RNAcentral
GAUUAUUUAUUUCACCCUUGUCUUUUGCGCACUUGUUGUUUCCUGGGCGGUUUCGCCCGCCACCAGGACCACACCAUAAACCUUUUUAGAUUAAUGCAUUAAGCGUCAGUAUAACAAAUGUAAAUCAUUUACAACUUUCAACAACGGAUCUCUUGGUUCUGGCAUCGAUGAAGAACGCAGCGAAAUGCGAUACGUAGUGUGAAUUGCAGAAUUCAGUGAAUCAUCGAAUCUUUGAACGCACAUUGCGCCCUUUGGUAUUCCAAAGGGCAUGCCUGUUCGAGCGUCAUUUGUACCCUCAAGCUUUGCUUGGUGUUGGGCGUCUUGUCUUUGUUCUCCAAAGACUCGCCUUAAAACGAUUGGCAGCCGGCCUCCUGGUUUCGCAGCGCAGCACAAUUUUGCGCUUGCAAUCAGCAACAGAGGUUGGCACUCCAUCAAGCCUUUUUUUCUUACGUUUGACCUCGGAUCAGGUAGGGAUACCCGCUGAACUUAAGCAUAUCAAUAAGCGGAGGAA